This 214-nucleotide long non-coding RNA is filed under the name Elaeis guineensis (African oil palm). RNAcentral describes it as "long non-coding RNA (EGUI_LNC015716)". The record is from RNAcentral. Lineage: Eukaryota; Viridiplantae; Streptophyta; Magnoliopsida; Arecales; Arecaceae.
UGGCAGAACAAUGCUGCUGAGAUCAAACUCCGGGUACAGAUCUCGAACGGCUUCCCGAACGUCCUCGUACCCCACCCGAUACGAAAGGAAGCCGCUCUCCAGAAGCUCUUCUCGAUACUCUUCCGAGUCGUGGAAGUCUUCAACAGUCCGACCCAUGGCCUCCUUCGCCGACUCCGCUUCUGCCUUCGCGAUGUCUGCGUCGGCCUGGGCGAUG